Molecule: non-coding RNA, 30 nt
Filed under: Rattus norvegicus (Norway rat)
Lineage: Eukaryota; Metazoa; Chordata; Mammalia; Rodentia; Muridae
Source: RNAcentral
UGAGAAAGGAAGCAGCAAGGUCUGCUCAAG